Molecule: non-coding RNA, 361 nt
Organism: Pogona vitticeps (central bearded dragon)
Lineage: Eukaryota; Metazoa; Chordata; Lepidosauria; Squamata; Agamidae
Source: RefSeq, a predicted model, not a curated record
CAUGGAAUGUUUAUGUCUUUUUAAUUUUUAUGCAUAUUUAGUGCCAAGGCCUGCUGAAGGAGGAACCAAUGCUUAUGUCCCCUCUGUAUUUAUUCCAGUCUCCAAAAUUCUGAAUGACUCCACAGAUCCGUCUUCUCCAGCAGAACUUCUCCCCAUGUCUCCAAGUGUCUAUGCUGUCUUGAGAGAACAUUUAAGUCCUACUGUCAUGGAAACUGCCAUGAAUUCUCCAUAUUCGGCUGACUGACACUCGGAUAGAGAAGAUAAUAAAUACAUCCUGUAAAUACAUUUUUAAAAAGGACUUACCUGGCAGUUUGUUUGUUUUUUAGUGCCCUUUGGAAUAAAUGUUUCAUGAAGACGCAAA